RNAcentral lists this long non-coding RNA (300 nucleotides) under Elaeis guineensis (African oil palm). RNAcentral's name for it is "long non-coding RNA (EGUI_LNC080351)". Lineage: Eukaryota; Viridiplantae; Streptophyta; Magnoliopsida; Arecales; Arecaceae. The record is from RNAcentral.
UCCUCUCCUGAGCGGCCGACAGCUCCGCUCGGAGGGAACUAAUCUUGGUAGCUUGAGCCCAAAUUCGAUCGCUGGCGCACUUUCUGUGUUCCUCGAGCUCCCUCUUGAAGUUCGCCUUUCUCCAGCUGUACUCCAUGAUCCCCUUCAUGUGGAGGUUUCGGAAGUGGGUGGCCUCCGCGACGGCUUCGGAGUGACCCUCCCUCAACAUGCGGAGCUCGCCUUCCAUCUUCUUCGACCUUUUCAUCAAAUGAAGAACUUCCUUCUUCAGGCGCUGGAUCGUGGACUUCAGCAGAAUCCCCU